This is a long non-coding RNA of Sphaeramia orbicularis (orbiculate cardinalfish), 499 nucleotides long. RefSeq lists it as uncharacterized. The transcript has 3 exons. The record is from RefSeq and is a predicted model, not a curated record. Lineage: Eukaryota; Metazoa; Chordata; Actinopteri; Kurtiformes; Apogonidae.
ACUUUUUGCAAUAUUGCUCCAGGCCCUUGAUUGAUUUAUUAAUCUUAACAUAACAAAGAGAAAAUCUGCUUAAUCAGGCACAUUUUAGAAAGAGUUGUUUGCAAUUAUGGAUCACUUUCAUUCCCUGAGGUAAACUACGGCUGCUCAGCUGAUAUACACAGUACUAUGCAAAAUUUUUAGGUUUGUCGAUUUAGUAAAGUUAUAAUAACCACACAUAAGCAUUUCUCAGUCUUUGUGUUAAAGUAUAAUGUGGAUAAAUUAGGAAUAUGUACAAAAAUAAAAACAGAGGCUUCUAUAAAUCAUAGAGGUAGUAUUUAGUCUGACCUCCCUCUGUAAUUUACAUGUCCUUAACCCUUUUGUUCACACAGUACGAGAUUUAUUGCAUUCAUUUUCUGAUGUUAUUAGCAGGUUUCAUUCAACAUGUCAGAUGUUUCUGUUUGUGCCGCUUGUCAUAGGGUCAGGAGUCAGAAUAUAUAAGGAUUUUAAUCUUAAUAGAAGA